Vespa velutina is the source of this 1331-nucleotide long non-coding RNA. RefSeq lists it as uncharacterized. The transcript is spliced from 5 exons. The record is from RefSeq and is a predicted model, not a curated record. Lineage: Eukaryota; Metazoa; Arthropoda; Insecta; Hymenoptera; Vespidae.
UAGCGACACGAAGUUUUGAUAUUCUUCUUAUUACGGGUAAUUAACAUGUUUUUUUUUCUAAAUUAUAGAUUCUUUCAAUAUACUAAUCGAUAGUCAGACAUGUGAUUUUUAUAGCAUUUGCAAGUCGAAAAAAUGGCGCGUUUGAAAUAUAUUCGUGAAAAUAAAAUUGUCAUUUAGACGUGUCUAUCGUGGGGAUUAUUGCGUUAUACUUUUUCUAGAAUUCUCAGCUUUUAUUUUUCCGAUAUACUUGCACACUCGUAUUUAUAUCCGGAUUGUUAUUGGCAAGUGUGUGAUAUAAACGUGUAGAAGGUGACUGAAUGCCUGAGUUACAAUUGAAAGAAAAUUUGGAAGACAAUAAAGAGGACAUUCUAUUAUAAUACAUAAUAUUCUACGAAUCGACGAAGCUUUAUACACAGUACAGUGAAGAUUGAGUUUUGUUUUUCACUGCUCUUCGUAUGUAGCUGAAAAUAAAUUAAAUGAAAGUUUUUUGUUGCCGCAUGAUAAACAAAGUUAGGGAAGGUGACUUCCUUCUCACUAUUCAAUAAUAUGAUCCCUGCGGCAACACUCGACUGUUCUGCUACAAAUGUAGAUCUUAUUCUGCUGUUGUUCAUGCAGCCAUGAAUAGGUCGAUUCUUAUUUCAAUAAGGUAAAAGAAAAAUCGUGAAGUUGAUUGUUUUUAAGUUUAUUUAAAUUUGUUUGCGAUUUCAAUUAACUUCUAUGAACAUGUGUAUUUGAAUAAAUUGCGCGCAAAUUUUUAGAGUCAGUUUUUGUCGUAUAAAGUUUUAUGUAAGGCUGUUCACUAUCUUUUGUUCAAAGCGUAUGUGUCUUCAGCGAUAGAUAUGGACAAAAUAUGAACUACGAAACAAGCGGGAAACGUUGUAACAAUCAUACGUCUUUCGUAUUGAUGUAUAAGCUUGUGUUGAUUAUUCUCCUCUCACGCGAUAUAUCAAUUGGUUUCGUGUAGAUAGAGUCAAUAGUUUAGUAGACUGUGAACGAACUUUUCAGUCUCUCAUAUGUAUAUCUUUUUUUUAUGGUAGCAUGCCUGUCUCACAGUGAUUCGUGUUAGAUAGGAUGUCUGUACAUAUUUGUUUUACGAUAAAAGCAUAGAAAUAAUAAAUAAAAUUGACGCAUAUAAGAAUUAAUAUAUAAAUCUAUUUAUAUUAGUAUAUAAAUAGUGAAUAAGAAACAAUGUGGAAUCCAAUGCAUAAAGAUCAUAAAGUACUAAGAUAAAAAAAAACCAUAGCGGGCAAAAACAAAAGAAACAUUACUUUUUUUCAUAUGCCAUUUGUAUUAGUCAUGUAAAAUGAUAUAUUUUUUCUUUUGUUAUCAUA